Molecule: ribosomal RNA, 686 nt
Filed under: Halomonas sp.
Lineage: Bacteria; Pseudomonadati; Pseudomonadota; Gammaproteobacteria; Oceanospirillales; Halomonadaceae
Description: bacterial SSU rRNA
Rfam family: Bacterial small subunit ribosomal RNA
Source: RNAcentral
UGAGGUGCGAAAGCGUGGGUAGCAAACAGGAUUAGAUACCCUGGUAGUCCACGCCGUAAACGAUGUCGACCAGCCGUUGGGUGCCUAGCGCACUUUGUGGCGAAGUUAACGCGAUAAGUCGACCGCCUGGGGAGUACGGCCGCAAGGUUAAAACUCAAAUGAAUUGACGGGGGCCCGCACAAGCGGUGGAGCAUGUGGUUUAAUUCGAUGCAACGCGAAGAACCUUACCUACCCUUGACAUCUACAGAAGCCGGGAGAGAUCCUGGUGUGCCUUCGGGAACUGUAAGACAGGUGCUGCAUGGCUGUCGUCAGCUCGUGUUGUGAAAUGUUGGGUUAAGUCCCGUAACGAGCGCAACCCUUGUCCUUAUUUGCCAGCACGUAAUGGUGGGAACUCUAAGGAGACUGCCGGUGACAAACCGGAGGAAGGUGGGGACGACGUCAAGUCAUCAUGGCCCUUACGGGUAGGGCUACACACGUGCUACAAUGGCCGGUACAAAGGGUUGCCAACUCGCGAGAGUGCGCCAAUCCCGAAAAGCCGGUCUCAGUCCGGAUCGGAGUCUGCAACUCGACUCCGUGAAGUCGGAAUCGCUAGUAAUCGUGAAUCAGAAUGUCACGGUGAAUACGUUCCCGGGCCUUGUACACACCGCCCGUCACACCAUGGGAGUGGACUGCACCAGAAGUGGUUA